This 627-nucleotide ribosomal RNA is filed under the name uncultured Bacilli bacterium. RNAcentral's name for it is "bacterial SSU rRNA". It matches the Rfam family "Bacterial small subunit ribosomal RNA", at positions 136 to 751 of the family's 1533-position model. The record is from RNAcentral. Lineage: Bacteria; Bacillati; Bacillota; Bacilli.
GCGGGGGAUAACUAUUGGAAACGAUAGCUAAUACCGCAUAACAAUGGAUGACACAUGUCAUUUAUUUGAAAGGGGCAAUUGCUCCACUACAAGAUGGACCUGCGUUGUAUUAGCUAGUAGGUGAGGUAACGGCUCACCUAGGCGACGAUACAUAGCCGACCUGAGAGGGUGAUCGGCCACACUGGGACUGAGACACGGCCCAGACUCCUACGGGAGGCAGCAGUAGGGAAUCUUCGGCAAUGGGGGCAACCCUGACCGAGCAACGCCGCGUGAGUGAAGAAGGUUUUCGGAUCGUAAAGCUCUGUUGUAAGUCAAGAACGAGUGUGAGAGUGGAAAGUUCACACUGUGACGGUAGCUUACCAGAAAGGGACGGCUAACUACGUGCCAGCAGCCGCGGUAAUACGUAGGUCCCGAGCGUUGUCCGGAUUUAUUGGGCGUAAAGCGAGCGCAGGCGGUUUGAUAAGUCUGAAGUUAAAGGCUGUGGCUCAACCAUAGUUCGCUUUGGAAACUGUCAAACUUGAGUGCAGAAGGGGAGAGUGGAAUUCCAUGUGUAGCGGUGAAAUGCGUAGAUAUAUGGAGGAACACCGGUGGCGAAAGCGGCUCUCUGGUCUGUAACUGACGCUGAGG